RNAcentral lists this transfer RNA (85 nucleotides) under Felis catus (domestic cat). It matches the Rfam family "tRNA". From Rfam's summary of the family: Transfer RNA (tRNA) molecules are approximately 80 nucleotides in length. Their secondary structure includes four short double-helical elements and three loops (D, anti-codon, and T loops). The record is from Rfam by way of RNAcentral. Lineage: Eukaryota; Metazoa; Chordata; Mammalia; Carnivora; Felidae.
GCCUGGGUGGCUCAGUCGGUUGAGCAUCUGACUUUGGCUCAGGCCAUGAUCUCACGGUUCAUGGGUUCGAGUCCCGUGUUGGGCU